Molecule: long non-coding RNA, 1192 nt
Filed under: Callithrix jacchus (white-tufted-ear marmoset)
Lineage: Eukaryota; Metazoa; Chordata; Mammalia; Primates; Cebidae
Description: lncRNA (ENSCJAG00000069644.1)
Source: RNAcentral
CUAAAAGUUUGAGUCCUUUUGUAAUCCUUCCCUCUCUCCCCUCCUUACUCCACCCUCUAUUCCCAGGCAACCACUGAUCUGUCACUAUAGAUUAAUUUGCAUUUUCUAGAAUUUUAUAAAAUGGAAUCACAUUUACUUCUUUUGCCUGGUUUAUGUCCCUUAGCAUAAUAGUUUUGAAAUUUACCUAUAUUUUUUAUACGUGAAUAGUUCAUUCCUUUCUAUUACAUUUAAUGAAAAUGUAUAUCCCUUUUCAUUGUAGGUAGUAUUCCAUUGUGUGGCUAUACCAAAAUUUGUUGAUUUAUUCACCUGUUGAUAGAUAUUUGGGUUAUUUCUAUUUUUGGCAAUUACAAAUAAAGAGCCUAAGGACAUUCAUAUACAGGUCAUUGAAUGAACAUUUUUUUCUUUUUUUCUUGCAGGUAAAUAUCUGAGUGGAAUGGUUGGAUCAUGGGCGCAGACAAAAUGUGCCAUGAGUGAUGGCCUUGGGUGAUCUACAGACAUCCCUGGCUCUAGCAGUCAUUUGUGUGGGGAGGUAACUAAAAAUCCAGGGGUGGAGUGGACUUCAGAGCUAGCUGAUUCAAUUGCUCAGCAGUAUCUUAAAAGAUCCAUCCUCUUACAAGCUUUCCUGUCUCCCAUCUUUGAUGUUGGCUUCAUCCUCUUGCCGGUAGUAAGAUCGCUACAGAAGUUUUGGAAAUAUGUCCAGACAUGGAGGUGCUGCAGAGGAAGGAGGGAGAAUAUGCCUUUCUGCAGAUCUUUCUUGGAAGAGAGGUAAGUUUCUCCAAAAGUACUCAGAUGAUUUCCCCUCAGGUGUCUCUGGCUGGAAUUAGGUCACGUAACCAUUGUUGAACAAAAAGACAAGGAAAAUAAGACUUUUCUUAUACUCAGUCACUCCGGGGGCUGGCAGUAAGGUCAUCUUUUUCCAGGUCCAUGAGCUGUGUUAAAUGGUGGGAGAAUACCUGAAUAAAACUGGGGUUCUGUCAGAAGGAAAGGAAGGAGGAGGUAACCAGUGUGUACCUCAGGACCAAACCUCAAAGGGAGUUUGGGAUGAGGUAACUGUGAAGCAUUUGGUUUGGUAAACGCAGCCUGGAGGUUAUCAGGGCCAGUGGCCUCCUUCUAGCGGCAUGGCCGUGGGUGGCUCUGAGUCUCUAGGGAAGUCCCACAUUGAGCUCAGUGCCACACCCAGUGCAUUUUGGGA